This 254-nucleotide ribosomal RNA is filed under the name uncultured bacterium. RNAcentral describes it as "partial 16S ribosomal RNA". It matches the Rfam family "Bacterial small subunit ribosomal RNA", at positions 524 to 776 of the family's 1533-position model. The record is from RNAcentral.
CACGUAGGGUGCGAGCGUUGUCCGGAAUUAUUGGGCGUAAAGAGCUCGUAGGCGGUGUGUCGCGUCGGCCGUGAAAACCUGCAGCUUAACUGUGGGCUUGCGGUCGAUACGGGCAUCACUGGAGUUCGGCAGGGGAGACUGGAAUUCCUGGUGUAGCGGUGAAAUGCGCAGAUAUCAGGAGGAACACCGGUGGCGAAGGCGAGUCUCUGGACAUUUCCUGACGCUGAGGCACGAAAGCCAGGGGAGCAAACGGG